UCAGCAGUUCGUUCUGUCGCUCCGGACAAAAGUUAACCGUGGAACACAUUCGUCCGGGGAGGAAAGUCGGGACAACACAGAGCACCAUGCUUCCUAACAGGAAGGGACCCGGGCAACCGGGUCACAGCUAGUGCCACAGAAAACAACCACCGUACGGGCGACCCGUCGGGUUGCCCUUACCGGAAAGGGUGAAAACGUGGUGUAAGAGACCACGAUCCCGGAUGGUGACCUCCGGGAUGGGUAAACCUCAUGGGUUGAAAGACCAUGUACAUCCCGCUGACGCAAGUCACCUGGCUGCUCGCCAGGGCCGCAAGGCGCCGGGAGGGGUAGGUCGCGAAAACCGUUCGGUGACGGCCGGUUCAGAUAAAUGACAGAAUCUCCUGUAAAGGGGAACAGAAUCCUGCUUACAGAACUGCUGUUUUU
Molecule: RNase P RNA, 423 nt
Filed under: Bacteroidales bacterium
Lineage: Bacteria; Pseudomonadati; Bacteroidota; Bacteroidia; Bacteroidales
Description: RNase P RNA component class A
Rfam family: Bacterial RNase P class A
About the family: Ribonuclease P (RNase P) is a ubiquitous endoribonuclease, found in archaea, bacteria and eukarya as well as chloroplasts and mitochondria.
Source: RNAcentral